GGAAAUGUGCCCGAAAGAUAAGGAUCUCCUUGAUAGGGAGAAAUAUAGAGGUUCAAACCCUCUCAUUUCCU
This is a transfer RNA of 71 nucleotides. It matches the Rfam family "tRNA". Rfam says of the family: Transfer RNA (tRNA) molecules are approximately 80 nucleotides in length. Their secondary structure includes four short double-helical elements and three loops (D, anti-codon, and T loops).